GAGAGAGGAGACAAAGUUCGUAAGUCGUCAACGUUUGUUCUUUCGCCAGACUUAGAGCAUCGAAACUGCAAGCACAUAGAGUGAAAAAUCUAUGGGCAUCAACAUCAUUAGGCUAUAUAUCUGCCACUAUCAGUUCGUCAGAACCAUACACCAAAUAGCAAAAACAAUCCCUUUCACUCCAUAUUCAGAAGGAACAGAUUGAAUUUUUCUGGAACUUCUUACCGGCGAAGAGAGAAAUAUUAGUUUCCCCACCACCAUCCAUUUCCUUGCCACAUUUAGACCACCAGAUUGUCGGAACUGACACUGUGCACAUCCCGUACAAUCAAAAGGCUUGCUAUACGGAGAAAGAGACAGAAAUCGCUGCUCCGUUCGCUGCUCCGUUCAUUUCUGCUACCAUCCUUUCUCUUCAACGGUGUAUUCAAAAGAAAAUCGGGGUACAAUGCACAAUUAACCACCAUAGGAAGAUAUUUUUAGUAGUUGGGAGCUGUUGGAGUGGGUUCCAUUAUCUGAAAUUCAGUGUUUCUUCCAAUGACAGUGCUAUGCAAAAAAAAAAAAAAAAAAAAAAAAAAAAAAAAAAAAAAAAAAAAAAUUGAAGAUACUUUAGAAGUUGAACUGGUAGCUGUUUUGCAUUGUUAGAAUUUUGCACGUGAAGAACAAAAAAAGGCUUAUAUUUUCGAAGGUGCUUCAGGUAUUGUUGCUUUUGUAUAUGAAUGAAAAUAAUUAAUUAUUGACUGAGUUUUGAAUUUUUUAUUUUUUUUACUAUUCUGGUGUAUUUAAUAAAACCCAAUUUUUGGAUAUGUAAAUUCAAGUGCUAUUUGGGAAGAAGAGAAAGUAGUUUGUUCCACUUGAGAUUUUUUU
Long non-coding RNA from Quercus robur (English oak), 858 nucleotides. RefSeq lists it as uncharacterized. The transcript is spliced from 3 exons. Lineage: Eukaryota; Viridiplantae; Streptophyta; Magnoliopsida; Fagales; Fagaceae. The record is from RefSeq and is a predicted model, not a curated record.